This 292-nucleotide ribosomal RNA is filed under the name uncultured bacterium. RNAcentral's name for it is "partial 16S ribosomal RNA". It matches the Rfam family "Bacterial small subunit ribosomal RNA", at positions 505 to 796 of the family's 1533-position model. The record is from RNAcentral.
GUGCCAGCCGCCGCGGUAAGACAGAGGGGGCAAGCGUUGUCCGGACUGACUGGGCGUAAAGCGCGCGCAGGCGGUCUGAGGCGUCGGUGCUUAAAGUCCACCGCUUAACGGUGGGAAAGGUGCCGAUACGCUCAGACUGGAGGGCGGGCGAGGGUGGUGGAAUUGCCGGUGUAGUGGUGAAAUGCGUAGAGAUCGGCAGGAACACCAGUGGCGAAGGCGGCCACCUAGCCCGCACCUGACGCUGAGGCGCGACAGCGUGGGGAGCGAACUGGAUUAGAUACCCCUGUAGUCC